AAGGCCUUAGCUUAAUUAAAGUAUCUGUUUUGCACAUAGGAGAUGUGAGGUAGUGCCUCGCAGGUCUUA
RNAcentral lists this transfer RNA (69 nucleotides) under Ophidion marginatum (striped cusk-eel). RNAcentral describes it as "tRNA-Ala". It matches the Rfam family "tRNA". Rfam says of the family: Transfer RNA (tRNA) molecules are approximately 80 nucleotides in length. Their secondary structure includes four short double-helical elements and three loops (D, anti-codon, and T loops). Further hydrogen bonds mediate the characteristic L-shaped molecular structure. tRNAs have two regions of fundamental functional importance: the anti-codon, which is responsible for specific mRNA codon recognition, and the 3' end, to which the tRNAs corresponding amino acid is attached (by aminoacyl-tRNA synthetases). tRNAs cope with the degeneracy of the genetic code in two manners: having more than one tRNA (with a specific anti-codon) for a particular amino acid; and 'wobble' base-pairing, i.e. permitting non-standard base-pairing at the 3rd anti-codon position. Lineage: Eukaryota; Metazoa; Chordata; Actinopteri; Ophidiiformes; Ophidiidae. The record is from RNAcentral.